CUACGGGCGGCUGCAGUGGGGAAUAUUGCGCAAUGGGCGAAAGCCUGACGCAGCCAUGCCGCGUGUGUGAAGAAGGCCUUCGGGUUGUAAAGCACUUUCAAUUGGGAAGAAAGGUUGCGUGUUAAUAGCACGUAGCUGUGACGUUACCUUUAGAAGAAGCACCGGCUAAGUCCGUGCCAGCAGCCGCGGUAAUACGGAGGGUGCGAGCGUUAAUCGGAAUUACUGGGCGUAAAGCGCGCGUAGGCGGUUUGUUAAGUCGGAUGUGAAAGCCCCGGGCUCAACCUGGGAAUUGCAUUCGAUACUGGCCGACUAGAGUACGAGAGAGGGAGGUAGAAUUCCACGUGUAGCGGUGAAAUGCGUAGAUAUGUGGAGGAAUACCGGUGGCGAAGGCGGCCUCCUGGCUCGAUACUGACGCUGAGGUGCGAAAGCGUGGGUAGCAAACAGGAUUAGAUACCCGCGUAGUC
This 464-nucleotide ribosomal RNA is filed under the name uncultured bacterium. Its description in RNAcentral is "partial 16S ribosomal RNA". It matches the Rfam family "Bacterial small subunit ribosomal RNA", at positions 339 to 795 of the family's 1533-position model. The record is from RNAcentral.